This 57-nucleotide transfer RNA is filed under the name Caldilinea sp. RNAcentral describes it as "tRNA-Gly". It matches the Rfam family "tRNA", at positions 9 to 63 of the family's 71-position model. From Rfam's summary of the family: Transfer RNA (tRNA) molecules are approximately 80 nucleotides in length. Their secondary structure includes four short double-helical elements and three loops (D, anti-codon, and T loops). Lineage: Bacteria; Bacillati; Chloroflexota; Caldilineae; Caldilineales; Caldilineaceae. The record is from RNAcentral.
AGCUCAAUGGCAGAGCGUUUGCUUCCCAAGCAAAAUGUUGAGAGUUCGAAUCUCUUC